Molecule: ribosomal RNA, 385 nt
Filed under: marine copepod environmental sample
Lineage: Eukaryota; Metazoa; Arthropoda; Copepoda
Description: SSU rRNA
Rfam family: Eukaryotic small subunit ribosomal RNA
Source: RNAcentral
AGCUCCAAUAGCGUAUAUUAAAGUUGUUGUGGUUAAAAAGCUCGUAGUUGGAUCUCGGCGGUCUGAGGGCGGUUCGCUUGAUUGAGUGCUACUGCUCUAUAGGCCGUGGUUUUGCCAGAGGUCUCGGGGUGCUCUUUACCGAGUGUCCUGCGAUGCUGGCAGGUUUACUUUGAAAAAAUUAGAGUGCUCAAAGCAGGCUUUUACGCCUGAAUAUUCGUGCAUGGAAUAAUAGAAUAGGAAGUCGUUUCUAUUUUGUUGGUUUUCGGAAAUCGACUUAAUGAUUAAUAGGGACAGUUGGGGGCAUUAGUACUUGACUGUCAGAGGUGAAAUUCUCCGAUUUGUUAAAGACUAACUUAUGCGAAAGCAUUUGCCAAGGAUGUUUUCA